UGCCAGGCUAAAAGAAACAAAAAUGAUCAGACCUAACACUCUACAUCUGCAAGUAGCUGAUAUCAUAAAAUGGUCAGCAUGGAUGUCAGUUUUCAGGAGACAAGAAGCAAUUGGUGGAUAUUCUUAGCUAUCGAUGGGCAUGAAGACCAUCUCAAACAGCUCUGAUGGCCGUGAUGUUUCUUUGUUGCAUUGUAUGUACCGCAUAAGCGCAGUUAUAACGACAAUAAAAACUGACACCAUAUACCAGAUUUCUCGAUGUAGUGCUUUCAGAUUUCUUGACAGAAUA
Molecule: long non-coding RNA, 286 nt
Organism: Panicum virgatum (switchgrass)
Lineage: Eukaryota; Viridiplantae; Streptophyta; Magnoliopsida; Poales; Poaceae
Exons: 2
Source: RefSeq, a predicted model, not a curated record